Poecilia reticulata (guppy) is the source of this 955-nucleotide long non-coding RNA. RefSeq lists it as uncharacterized. The record is from RefSeq and is a predicted model, not a curated record. Lineage: Eukaryota; Metazoa; Chordata; Actinopteri; Cyprinodontiformes; Poeciliidae.
GCUUCACUUAAUUCUGAAUGUGACUCAUUUAAACAUUUAUUUAAAUGCGUCUGUCAUAAGUGCAUUGCUCAAGGGAAUAAAAAGAGGCGUUUCACCAGGUUUUCCUCUGGUGGACCCUCCUCGCUAUAGCCRACCUGUGGAAGCAGCUGCUUCCACCUGACUUUAUUUAGGGGUAUCAGAGGAAAAAGGAACAGAAUGUACACCACAUAUUAGAUUUUUAACUUCCACUUCACAAUUUUGCACCGUUUCAUGAUGGCGAAUCAGAAAUAAUCMCAAUAAAAUACAUAAGUUUGUGUUUGUUAGUUUGUGGCAAUCUGAAAAGUGUGAAAAAGAUCUUAAGAGACUUUAAAAGUCUUUAAAAAAAAUCCUCAGCUUUCCAAAAUAGGGACUUGAACUUCCUUCAUUUAGCUCUUAAAUUAGCACAUCUGUUCAUUCCUUGCUUUUCMAUUCAUUCUCUGUGUUACAGUCUUGAAGAAUCUCUUCUCUCAGCGAGUCUUGCUCAAGAUGGUGGCAUGAAUACAUUCAGUCAUAGAAGUCUGACAGGGACGCAGAGGAGGAAAACUAUUAGGGGUAGCCAUUUGGAUCCUGGAGGCAAUCCCAGGGAGUAUUAAGACGUUAACCCUGGCCAAGUCACUUGUCUCUCUCAGUUACUGUGCUGAUGGGGUGGGGAAAGGAUCCGGUCGCAAGGGGAGAUCCAGGAGACAGGAGCUUUGGGUCAGCUGCCGUUUCCAGGUCCAAUCGAGCCUGACUCGAAUGGGGGAUGGUUGUCAGGAGCCUCCUUGGCUGGGCUUUAAGGAGGCUCUGCGCCAAAACAAAGGACAAAAAGCAGAAAGUGUGCCAUCUYUACCCACACCGGAUUCAGGAAGACUCACCGAUAUCUGUGGAAAAAGUCAAAUAAAUAUGUUUAAUUAUAAUGUGAUUUUUCUUUUUUUCAAUGAAUAAAUAUUGAACGUUG